This 719-nucleotide ribosomal RNA is filed under the name Serratia marcescens. RNAcentral describes it as "bacterial SSU rRNA". It matches the Rfam family "Bacterial small subunit ribosomal RNA", at positions 46 to 755 of the family's 1533-position model. Lineage: Bacteria; Pseudomonadati; Pseudomonadota; Gammaproteobacteria; Enterobacterales; Yersiniaceae. The record is from RNAcentral.
GCCUAACACAUGCAAGUCGAGCGGUAGCACGGGGGAGCUUGCUCCCUGGGUGACGAGCGGCGGACGGGUGAGUAAUGUCUGGGAAACUGCCUGAUGGAGGGGGAUAACUACUGGAAACGGUAGCUAAUACCGCAUAACGUCGCAAGACCAAAGAGGGGGACCUUCGGGCCUCUUGCCAUCAGAUGUGCCCAGAUGGGAUUAGCUAGUAGGUGGGGUAAUGGCUCACCUAGGCGACGAUCCCUAGCUGGUCUGAGAGGAUGACCAGCCACACUGGAACUGAGACACGGUCCAGACUCCUACGGGAGGCAGCAGUGGGGAAUAUUGCACAAUGGGCGCAAGCCUGAUGCAGCCAUGCCGCGUGUGUGAAGAAGGCCUUCGGGUUGUAAAGCACUUUCAGCGAGGAGGAAGGUGGUGAACUUAAUACGUUCAUCAAUUGACGUUACUCGCAGAAGAAGCACCGGCUAACUCCGUGCCAGCAGCCGCGGUAAUACGGAGGGUGCAAGCGUUAAUCGGAAUUACUGGGCGUAAAGCGCACGCAGGCGGUUUGUUAAGUCAGAUGUGAAAUCCCCGGGCUCAACCUGGGAACUGCAUUUGAAACUGGCUAGCUAGAGUCUCGUAGAGGGGGGUAGAAUUCCAGGUGUAGCGGGAAAUGCGUAUAGAUCUGGAGGAAUACCGGUGGCGAAGGCGGCCCCCUGGACAAAAACUGACGCUCACGUGCG